This 529-nucleotide ribosomal RNA is filed under the name uncultured Psychrobacter a4r. RNAcentral's name for it is "bacterial SSU rRNA". It matches the Rfam family "Bacterial small subunit ribosomal RNA", at positions 971 to 1501 of the family's 1533-position model. The record is from RNAcentral. Lineage: Bacteria; Pseudomonadati; Pseudomonadota; Gammaproteobacteria; Moraxellales; Moraxellaceae.
UUACCUGGUCUUGACAUACACAGAAUCUUGUAGAGAUACGAGAGUGCCUUCGGGAAUUGUGAUACAGGUGCUGCAUGGCUGUCGUCAGCUCGUGUCGUGAGAUGUUGGGUUAAGUCCCGCAACGAGCGCAACCCUUGUCCUUAGUUACCAGCACUUCGGGUGGGAACUCUAAGGAUACUGCCAGUGACAAACUGGAGGAAGGCGGGGACGACGUCAAGUCAUCAUGGCCCUUACGACCAGGGCUACACACGUGCUACAAUGGUAGGUACAGAGGGCAGCUACACAGCGAUGUGAUGCGAAUCUCAAAAAGCCUAUCGUAGUCCAGAUUGGAGUCUGCAACUCGACUCCAUGAAGUAGGAAUCGCUAGUAAUCGCGGAUCAGAAUGCCGCGGUGAAUACGUUCCCGGGCCUUGUACACACCGCCCGUCACACCAUGGGAGUUGAUUGCACCAGAAGUGGUUAGCCUAACUUAGUGAGGGCGAUCACCACGGUGUGGUCGAUGACUGGGGUGAAGUCGUAACAAGGUAACC